GACGAACGCUGGCGGCGUGCUUAACACAUGCAAGUCGAACGGAAAGGCCCUGCUUUUGUGGGGUGCUCGAGUGGCGAACGGGUGAGUAACACGUGAGUAACCUGCCCUUGACUUUGGGAUAAAUUCAGGAAACUGGGGCUAAUACCGGAUAGGAGCUCCUGCUGCAUGGUGGGGGUUGGAAAGUUUCGGCGGUUGGGGAUGGACUCGCGGCUUAUCAGCUUGUUGGUGGGGUAGUGGCUUACCAAGGCUUUGACGGGUAGCCGGCCUGAGAGGGUGACCGGCCACAUUGGGACUGAGAUACGGCCCAGACUCCUACGGGAGGCAGCAGUGGGGAAUAUUGCACAAUGGGCGGAAGCCUGAUGCAGCAACGCCGCGUGCGGGAUGACGGCCUUCGGGUUGUAAACCGCUUUCGCCUGUGCCGAAGCGUGAGUGACGGUAAUGGGUAAAGAAGCACCGGCUAACUACGUG
RNAcentral lists this ribosomal RNA (468 nucleotides) under uncultured bacterium. RNAcentral describes it as "partial 16S ribosomal RNA". It matches the Rfam family "Bacterial small subunit ribosomal RNA", at positions 28 to 507 of the family's 1533-position model. The record is from RNAcentral.